This 253-nucleotide unclassified non-coding RNA is filed under the name uncultured Alphaproteobacteria bacterium. Its description in RNAcentral is "contains 16S-23S intergenic spacer region". It matches the Rfam family "Bacterial small subunit ribosomal RNA", at positions 524 to 776 of the family's 1533-position model. The record is from RNAcentral. Lineage: Bacteria; Pseudomonadati; Pseudomonadota; Alphaproteobacteria.
UACGAAGGGGGCUAGCGUUGUUCGGAAUUACUGGGCGUAAAGCGCACGUAGGCGGACUAUUAAGUCAGGGGUGAAAUCCUGGAGCUCAACUCCGGAACUGCCUUUGAUACUGGUAGUCUAGAGACCGAGAGAGGUAAGUGGAACUCCUAGUGUAGAGGUGGAAUUCGUAGAUAUUAGGGAGAACACCGAUGGUGAAGGCGGCUUACUGGCUCGGAACUGACGCUGAGGUGCGAAAGCGUGGGGAGCAAACAGG